This 138-nucleotide small nucleolar RNA is filed under the name Ornithorhynchus anatinus (platypus). Lineage: Eukaryota; Metazoa; Chordata; Mammalia; Monotremata; Ornithorhynchidae. The record is from RNAcentral.
CCCCUCUCAGAGUCGCACCUGGAGAGUUUCCAGUCCUCUACCAGUCUCAACUAUGGGAGGGAGAGUCAAGCAGAGGCCUGUCCAUUCCAUUCCUAGCUUGGCCAGUGGUUAGGGAGGGGAAGGCAAUCUGCUACAGGU